GAUGAAGAACGCAGUGAAAUGCGAUAAGUAAUGUGAAUUGCAGAAUCCAGUGAAUCAUCGAAUCUUUGAACGCACAUUGCGCCCGCCAGCAUUCUGGCGGGCAUGCCUGUUCGAGCGUCAUUUCAACCCUCGACCUCCCUUUGGGUAAGUCGGCGUUGGGGACCGGCAGCACACCGCCGGCCCUGAAAUGGAGUGGCGGCCCGUCCGCGGCGACCUCUGCGUAGUAAUCCAACUCGCACCGGAACCCCGACGCGGCCACGCCGUAAAACACCCAACUUCUGAACGUUGACCUCGAAUCAGGUAGGACUACCCGCUGAACUUAAGCAUAUCAAUAACGGAGGA
RNAcentral lists this unclassified non-coding RNA (342 nucleotides) under soil metagenome. RNAcentral describes it as "partial contains 5.8S ribosomal RNA, internal transcribed spacer 2, and large subunit ribosomal RNA". The stretch from base 1 to 120 matches the Rfam family "5.8S ribosomal RNA", at positions 35 to 154 of the family's 154-position model. The record is from RNAcentral.